Molecule: non-coding RNA, 2501 nt
Organism: Sus scrofa (pig)
Lineage: Eukaryota; Metazoa; Chordata; Mammalia; Artiodactyla; Suidae
Source: RefSeq, a predicted model, not a curated record
ACGACGCCCGCUCAGCCUCCUUAGCUCCUCCCCUGGGCUGUCAGUGCGGACCCCGCCCUCUCAGCCGUCCAAUCGGCUCUGAACUCCGACCCAUUCUCCUCCUGCUUCCGCCGUCGCCGCGCGGCGUCUAUUUUGCCCUGCCUAGUCUUCCUUUUUCAGGCUUCUACUACUCACUGUCCAGUUUCUGGUUUUCUUGCAUAUUGUCCCUCAGAUUUCAGUCCUUCGCCCCUGCUUUUUAGUUUCGCGGUCAAGGAGAACGGUUGCUGUGUUUUAGAACGCAGUGGGUACGUCAAAAAGUAUGCAGGAGAGGAAGAACAAGGUUCAAGCAAGUGUGGCUGGUCUGGUUGAAAGAAAAUAAAAGACGGUAAAUAAAAUUCACCAGAGACCACAUAGCCAGAGAAGGACAAGCUGGGUUUUGAAUCUAGGCAAUCUUGACCCCAGAGCCCUCCAGCCUAAAGAAAUGAAGCACCCUGGGAGUUCCUGUUGUGGCUCAGAAGAAAUGAAUCUGACUAGUAUCCAUGAGGGCAAAGGUUUGAUCCCUGGCCUCGCUCAGUGGACUAAGGAUCCAGCAUUGCUGUGAGCUGUGGUGUAGGUCAUAGACAUGGACCUGGCAUUGCUAUGGCUGUGGCAUAGGCUGGCAGCUACAGCUCCGAUUUGACCCCUAGCCUCGGAACCUCCAUAUGCCACGUGUGCGGCCCUAAAAAGACCAAAAAAAAAAGAAGAAGAAGAAAGAAAUGAAGUACCCUGAUUGGCCACACCUAGGUAAUCGGACUACUCCAGUUGCUGGGAAGUGAAUGUGUCAGCCUAACCUGGACCAGAUGGGAUGAGAAUGGGGAAGGCACUGGACUUAUGUGAAACCUGAACAGAUACUAAUUUAAUUUGGUCUCAGUAUAUUGCUAAAGACUUUGAAAUGCUUUGAAAAUUAUUUUUCUUAUUUCUUAUUAUUACUAGUUGACAACCUUGGCUAUAUAUUGGAAUCGCCUGGAGAGUACACUACCCCAGACCAACUAAAUCUUGGGGAUGGGACCCUGGCAUAGGCAUUUCUACAGCUCCCAAGGGUGAUGGUGCUUAAUGAUUAUCUGUCAGAAGGAUGGACAAAUAUAUAGAUGGGAAAACUAAGGAGCAAAGCCAUCAAUGAUUUGUCCCAGCCCUCUCAGGAAGUUAAUGCAUAGUUAAAAAGAGAACCAUAGAUUUCAGGGGUAUUUUUCAAUCCACAAACUUGCUAGGUCUAUGCAGAUUUUUGUUUGUUUUUAAAUAAAUGCUCUAAAACUACGCUAGAGCAAGAAGAGUAUAGGGACACUGGAGGCAACCAAAAAGAAAAAACAGAAACAAAAACAAAAAGACCCUGAAAUUACAGCCUCAGAAUAUACAGGGUUUUUAAGAAUGGUGAUGUGGAACCAAAAAAAAAAAAAAAGAAGAAGAAGAAGAAGAAGAAUUCUAAGAAACAAAGACUCAUAAUUCUCUUCUUCAAGACCCCUUUGGUUACCAACCAUUAAGGAGACUGAUUCCUAAACCUGCCCCUUACUCCCUCCGCAUAAUCCCAACAUGUACAAAAAGCAAAAGGCUGUGACUCUGGGAACCCCAGCCACUAGAAGCCUCCAUCAUUCAUUUUAGCUUUGUGACAACUACCUGGAAACUCAACAUCAUGCAGCAUAAAUUUUUUUCUUUAUGGCAAAGUCCCAGUAUCACUUCAGAUUUUACCAAGAUCAUAGCACACUCUUUUUCUUAGACUAGAACCAGGCAGAAAGUCUUACUUACUUACAACCUUAAGGCAAAUUAUAGACUAACUGGUCACCUAAAGUAAUGAAAGGAAAGAAGUGUCACUUCCCAUUUGACCAAAACUCUACCAGAGGCACAAGCCUGUUAGAGUAUUCUUCACUGUACAAUGUAACUCUUGCUCAUGACUGAAAAAAUUAGAGUGACCCAUUUUAUUGAGUGGUGGGCAGAUUGCAAACGGUUGACCAAAGUGGCUCCAGGACUGAUGAAAUUAUCCUUUUUGCUUCACAUUUCGGGACUCAUGUGAAUUGUCAGCAUGUCAAGCCCUGAAUGGAAAUACCAGGAUGUUCCAAAUUUCACCAACUGCCACAGGUACUUUGGCUGAAAACCAUUUGACUAAGUGAAAUUUCACCAAAUAUAAUUUGACCAAGUAAAGUGUUUAUGGGUAUUUAAUAAAUAAUUUAGUCAAUAGGAAAAUUAGUAAAAUAAUACAUGAAAGUGAGUAACCACGAUCACUGCUUUUUAAGUCUUGGUAAUUUUGGUAUGUGUACCAUUAGUGGUUCUGCACAUCUUAAGCAUUUUUGUCUGAUUGUUAAAAUUGGUUCUUUUGUUGCUGUUGUUGUUAUUGUUUUUAUCAAUUACUUAUGCCCCUUGCUUCUUACAAUACUGAAAAGUUGGAAAAAAGAAUUGUUUAACAACAGUGGAACAACCUACAUGACUGACAAAAAACAACUAAAAAUCUUUUAAUAGUGGAAUCCAUUAAAAUAGAAUUUUUAUAUGUUUUA